UCAGGAUGAACGCUAGCGGCAGGCUUAACACAUGCAAGUCGAGGGGCAGCGGGAUGUAGCAAUACAUUGCCGGCGACCGGCGGAUGGGUGCGUAACGCGUAUGCAACCUACCUUAUACAGGGGAAUAACCUUUCGAAAGGGAGACUAACACCCCAUGGUAUUGAUUUAAGGCAUCUUAGAUUAAUUAAAUAUUUAUAGGUAUAAGAUGGGCAUGCGUAUGAUUAGCUAGUUGGUAAGGUAACGGCUUACCAAGGCGACGAUCAUUAGGGGUUCUGAGAGGAAGGUCCCCCCACACUGGUACUGAGACACGGACCAGACUCCUACGGGAGGCAGCAGUGAGGAAUAUUGGUCAAUGGGCGCAAGCCUGAACCAGCCAUGCCGCGUGCAGGAAAGACGGCCUUAUGGGUUGUAAACUGCUUUUACAUAAGACUAACCGUAUAUUUGCGAAUAUACCUGAAUGUAUUAUGAGAAUAAGGAUCGGCUAACUCCGUGCCAGCAGCCGC
Molecule: ribosomal RNA, 503 nt
Filed under: uncultured bacterium
Lineage: Bacteria
Description: bacterial SSU rRNA
Rfam family: Bacterial small subunit ribosomal RNA
Source: RNAcentral